UACGAAGGGUGCAAGCGUUACUCGGAAUUACUGGGCGUAAAGCGUGCGCAGGCGGUCUGCUAAGAGAGAUGUGAAAUCCCCGGGCUUAACCUGGGAACUGCGUUUCUAACUGGCAGGCUUGAGUGUGGCAGAGGGGGGUGGAAUUCCACGUGUAGCAGUGAAAUGCGUAGAGAUGUGGAGGAACACCGAUGGCGAAGGCAGCCCCCUGGGCUAACACUGACGCUCAUGCACGAAAGCGUGGGGAGCAAACAGG
Molecule: ribosomal RNA, 253 nt
Filed under: uncultured bacterium
Lineage: Bacteria
Description: partial 16S ribosomal RNA
Rfam family: Bacterial small subunit ribosomal RNA
Source: RNAcentral